Episyrphus balteatus (marmalade hoverfly) is the source of this 693-nucleotide long non-coding RNA. RefSeq lists it as uncharacterized. Lineage: Eukaryota; Metazoa; Arthropoda; Insecta; Diptera; Syrphidae. The transcript is spliced from 2 exons. The record is from RefSeq and is a predicted model, not a curated record.
GUGAAGCUGUGAAGUGAUAACAAUAAUAUCAUUUCAGCUUUCACAGAGUUUUUUCAUUUUAUCACUUCACAGGCACUCGCCUAAAGCGAUUCUCAAACUCACUGUGAUAAAAGUCUGUUCUAAAAAGUACUAAAUGAAAAAUUCUGUCAUUUUUAUAUUUCAUUUUUGAGUUUUUCAAUUGAUUUUUUUUUUUUGUGAAAUUAAUUUUUAAUAAAAGUAAGGAAUAAAUCAAAGAAAUUGAAACGUAAAGUAUGAAAACCAGAAUUUAGACGCAUUUGGGGAAGAAUUGUUAGAUAUCGUGGGCACAAUGCCAAAACCACAAAUCUGAAAUAAAAAAAAAAAUAGUUCUGAGAAAAAUGGAUUCAAAGUUUUGGAACUAAUGCAAACUCAUGGAAACUCGUGUAACGGACUCCUAGACUCUUAUAGGCAACAAUUAAAGGAUUGGGGUCCACGAAAUGAAUAGAGGGACCGAUAACAAGUUCAAUAACGCAUUAAAGUGGAAAUGUUCAAAAAUGCAGAUUCGCGGUUUUGUUUCGGUGAUGAUUUAAUCCAAAAUCAGAAACUUACUUGGUAGUUGCUUUUCUGCAUUUGCUGCUACUGCAGCAGCUUUAAUCUUGCCUGUUAUCAUUUGAAGAUCUAUGGUUAUGGUUACAAAUAUUUGUAAGGUUAAAUAAAAAUGGCAUUGACAAAAAA